Molecule: small RNA, 107 nt
Filed under: Marmota monax (woodchuck)
Lineage: Eukaryota; Metazoa; Chordata; Mammalia; Rodentia; Sciuridae
Source: RNAcentral
GCUGGGUGUGGUGGUGCACACCUGUAAUCGCAGCUGCUUGGGAGGCUGAGGCAGGAAGAUGGCAAGUUUGAGGCCAGCUUGAGAAAUUUAGGAAGACUCUGUCUCAA